UUUAAUGUGGUGUUUUAGCAUUUCACAUUUUGGUUGUGAAGGAGAACUAGUUGUCCAUUAAUU
This 63-nucleotide transfer RNA is filed under the name Serendip sp. MZUSP 7987. RNAcentral describes it as "tRNA-Gln". The record is from RNAcentral. Lineage: Eukaryota; Metazoa; Platyhelminthes; Cestoda; Tetraphyllidea; Serendipidae.